GGCAGCCUACAAGGCCUUUACUGACGCUAAAGCUCGAAGGUGCGGGGUAUCGAACAGGAUUAGAUACCCUGGUAGUCCGCACGGUAAAACGAUGGGAUGCCCCGCUGUUUGCGAUAUAUUGUAAGCGGCCAAGCGAAAGCGUUAAGCAUCCCACCUGGGGGAGUACGCCGGCAACGGUGAAACUCAAAGGAUUUGACGGGGGCCCGCACAAGCGGAGGAACAUGUGGUUUAAUUCGAUGAUACGCGAGGAACCUUACCCGGGCUUGAACUGCAGGAGAACGAUCCAGAGAUGGUGAGGCCCCUCGGGGCUCCUGUGGAGGUGCUGCAUGGUUGUCGUCAGCUCGUGCCGUGAGGUGUCGGCUUAAGUGCCAUAACGAGCGCAACCCUUUCCGGUAGUUUCCAUCAGGUGAUGCUGGGCACUCUGCCGGUACUGCCACCGUAAGGUGUGAGGAAGGUGGGGAUGACGUCAAAUCAGCACGGCUGACGUUCGGGCUACACACCUGUUACAAUGGUCAUACAGAAAGCGGUGACUCGCAAGACCAUCCAAUCAUGAAAGUUCCCUCAGUCGGAUUCGGGUCUGCAACCCGACCCCAUGAAGCG
This 600-nucleotide ribosomal RNA is filed under the name uncultured bacterium. RNAcentral describes it as "bacterial SSU rRNA". It matches the Rfam family "Bacterial small subunit ribosomal RNA", at positions 720 to 1327 of the family's 1533-position model. The record is from RNAcentral.